RNAcentral lists this ribosomal RNA (534 nucleotides) under Shigella sonnei. Its description in RNAcentral is "partial 23S ribosomal RNA". It matches the Rfam family "Bacterial large subunit ribosomal RNA", at positions 384 to 920 of the family's 2925-position model. The record is from RNAcentral. Lineage: Bacteria; Pseudomonadati; Pseudomonadota; Gammaproteobacteria; Enterobacterales; Enterobacteriaceae.
AAAAAUGCACAUAUUGUGAGCUUGAUGAGUAGGGCGGGACACGUGGUAUCCUGUCUGAAUAUGGGGGGACCAUCCUCCAAGGCUAAAUACUCCUGACUGACCGAUAGUGAACCAGUACCGUGAGGGAAAGGCGAAAAGAACCCCGGCGAGGGGAGUGAAAAAGAACCUGAAACCGUGUACGUACAAGCAGUGGGAGCACGCUUAGGCGUGUGACUGCGUACCUUUUGUAUAAUGGGUCAGCGACUUAUAUUCUGUAGCAAGGUUAACCGAAUAGGGGAGCCGAAGGGAAACCGAGUCUUAACUGGGCGUUAAGUUGCAGGGUAUAGACCCGAAACCCGGUGAUCUAGCCAUGGGCAGGUUGAAGGUUGGGUAACACUAACUGGAGGACCGAACCGACUAAUGUUGAAAAAUUAGCGGAUGACUUGUGGCUGGGGGUGAAAGGCCAAUCAAACCGGGAGAUAGCUGGUUCUCCCCGAAAGCUAUUUAGGUAGCGCCUCGUGAAUUCAUCUCCGGGGGUAGAGCACUGUUUCGGCA